RNAcentral lists this transfer RNA (69 nucleotides) under Miopithecus talapoin (talapoin). RNAcentral describes it as "tRNA-Ala". It matches the Rfam family "tRNA". Rfam says of the family: Transfer RNA (tRNA) molecules are approximately 80 nucleotides in length. Lineage: Eukaryota; Metazoa; Chordata; Mammalia; Primates; Cercopithecidae. The record is from RNAcentral.
GAGGGCUUAGCUUAAUUAAAGCGGUUGAUUUGCGUUCAAUUGAUGCAUGGUAGAUUUUUGCAGUCCUUA